Molecule: ribosomal RNA, 609 nt
Filed under: uncultured Verrucomicrobiota bacterium
Lineage: Bacteria; Pseudomonadati; Verrucomicrobiota
Description: bacterial SSU rRNA
Rfam family: Bacterial small subunit ribosomal RNA
Source: RNAcentral
UAGCGAUAUUGGGCUGGCUUAGUGGCGAACGGGUGCGUAACACGUGACCAACCUUCCCUAAAGUGGGGAAUAGCUCGCCGAAAGGCGAAUUAAUACCGCAUGUACCUCAAAGCAAUUUGAGGCAAAGCAGCAAUGCGCUUUUGGAUGGGGUCGCGGCCUAUCAGCUAGUUGGUGGGGUAACGGCUCACCAAGGCAACGACGGGCAGCUGGUCUGAGAGGACGACCAGCCACACUGGAACUGAGACACGGUCCAGACACCUACGGGUGGCAGCAGUCGAGAAUUUUUCUCAAUGGGGGAAACCCUGAAGGAGCGACGCCGCGUGGAGGAUGAAGGCUUUCGGGUUGUAAACUCCUGUCAUUUGGGAACAAAGUCCGCCUUUGGCGGAUGUGAUAGUACCAGAAGAGGAAGAGACGGCUAACUCUGUGCCAGCAGCCGCGGUAAUACAGAGGUCUCAAGCGUUGUUCGGAUUCAUUGGGCGUAAAGGGCGCGUAGGCUGCGGGGUAAGUCGGGUGUGAAAUCUUAGAGCUCAACUCUGAAAUUGCACUUGAUACUGCUCUGCUAGAGGACUGGAGAGGAGAUUGGAAUUCACGGUGGUAGCAAAGGGCGAA